Long non-coding RNA from Gigantopelta aegis, 218 nucleotides. RefSeq lists it as uncharacterized. The record is from RefSeq and is a predicted model, not a curated record. The transcript is spliced from 4 exons. NCBI's taxonomy places the organism in Eukaryota, Metazoa, Mollusca, Gastropoda, Neomphalida, Peltospiridae.
AAUACGCUGAGAGUAUAAAACGACACAGAUUUUGAGUUAGUGUCACGUAAUAUCAGCAGGUUAUCUUUUACCAGCUUUGUAUCUACAGGUAUCUACAGACAGUCUGAAGUGUCAAAAUGCGUAAUAUCACUGUUUUGACUCUGUUCUUUGCCGUACUCUUGGCAACCACAUUGGAAGCUGCAACCAACAAUUCGACAACCACAACUACUGCACCACCU